UACAGAGACCUCAAGCGUUAUCCGGAUUUACUGGGCGUAAAGGGUCCGCAGGUGGUUUUGCACGUCGAUGGUUAAAUGUUCGGGCUCAACCCGGACACCGCCGUCGAUACGGCAUGACUAGAGCAUGGAAGAGGUACGCGGAAUUACCGGUGUAGUAGUAAUAUGCGUUAAUAUCGGUAAGAACACCAAAUGCGAAGGCAGCGUACUGGGACAUUGCUGACACUCAGGGACGAAAGCGUGGGGAGCGAAAGGG
RNAcentral lists this ribosomal RNA (253 nucleotides) under uncultured bacterium. RNAcentral's name for it is "partial 16S ribosomal RNA". It matches the Rfam family "Bacterial small subunit ribosomal RNA", at positions 524 to 776 of the family's 1533-position model. The record is from RNAcentral.